CCUACGGGAGGCUGCAGUGGGGAAUAUUGGGCAAUGGGCGCAAGCCUGACCCAGCAACGCCGCGUGAAGGAAGAAGGCUUUCGGGUUGUAAAAUUCUUUUCUCAGGGACGAAGCAAGUGACGGUACCUGAGGAAUAAGCCACGGCUAACUACGUGCCAGCAGCCGCGGUAAUCCGUAGGGGGCAAGCGUUAUCCGGAUUUACGGGGUGUAAAGGGCGUGUAGGCGGGGACGCAAGUCAGAUGUGAAAACCACGGGCGCAACCUGUGGCCUGCAUUUGAAACUGGGUUUCUUGAGUACGGGAGAGGCAGGCGGAAUUCCUAGUGUAGCGGUGAAAUGCGUAGAUAUUAGGAGGAACACCGGUGGCGAAGGCGGUCUGCUGGACAGCAACUGACGCUGAGGCGCGAAAGCGUGGGGAGCAAACAGGAUUAGAUACCCCAGUAGUC
RNAcentral lists this ribosomal RNA (443 nucleotides) under uncultured bacterium. RNAcentral's name for it is "partial 16S ribosomal RNA". It matches the Rfam family "Bacterial small subunit ribosomal RNA", at positions 338 to 795 of the family's 1533-position model. The record is from RNAcentral.